This 194-nucleotide non-coding RNA is filed under the name Spirochaetota bacterium. Its description in RNAcentral is "Spirochaetes bacterium (hot springs metagenome) 6S RNA". It matches the Rfam family "6S / SsrS RNA". From Rfam's summary of the family: E. coli 6S RNA was the first non coding RNA to be sequenced, but its function was unknown until recently. Lineage: Bacteria; Pseudomonadati; Spirochaetota. The record is from RNAcentral.
AUUUUCCUGGGGUAUGCGUGUAGAAAUGUAUUUCCGGGUUCGUCAAUUAGAUAUUUUUGGAAUUCCGAACUCUAUGUGGAGUUGCUCCCUUAUUAGCUGAUACUUUCAGCUAUCGGGGAACAUGAAGCAUGGAUAGGAAUUCCUUAUAUUUUUUAAGGAAGCCGGAAAUUUUCUUGCGGUACCCCGGGAGUUUU